AUGUCUGCGCUGGCUGAGGAAGAGUCCUGUUUUAGCAGAACCCAGAUCCUGUUGAAAGUGGUAGAAGCUGAAUGCUCUUCCCUAGAAAACUCGGUGUCAGAUUUGCUGUGGAAUCAGAGGCUGAGCCUGUUCUCCUUGUGGAUUGAAAAGCCAGCAGAGCGUUUAUACCGGAUGGCCGUGCGCUUCCCUGAACUCUGCUGUGUCGCUAAGCAGAUGGCAUCCUGGCGAGAGCUCCGUGUGCACACAUGUAGUGAAUGUGCUUUGACCAUAGAAAGGACUAUACUCAGAAGUAGUGCUAAGUUGCCAGUGGAAACUGCCCAUGGGCCACAUGAGAGACCACGGAUCCUGCAAUGCUCGGGAUGCAUAAAGCUGGCACAGAAGUGCUGCAGAGAGGCUGUCACCAGUUAG
RNAcentral lists this long non-coding RNA (408 nucleotides) under Canis lupus familiaris (dog). RNAcentral describes it as "lncRNA (ENSCAFG00040018679.1)". The record is from RNAcentral. Lineage: Eukaryota; Metazoa; Chordata; Mammalia; Carnivora; Canidae.